CCUACGGGAGGCAGCAGUGAGGAAUAUUGGUCAAUGGACGGAAGUCUGAACCAGCCAUGCCGCGUGCAGGAAGACGGCUCUAUGAGUUGUAAACUGCUUUUGUACGAGGGUAAACGCGGAUACGCGUAUCUGGCUGAAAGUACCGUACGAAUAAGGAUCGGCUAACUCCGUGCCAGCAGCCGCGGUAAUACGGAGGAUUCAAGCGUUAUCCGGAUUUAUUGGGUUUAAAGGGUGCGUAGGCGGGCGGAUAAGUUAGAGGUGAAAUCCCGGGGCUCAACUUCGGAAUUGCCUCUGAUACUGUUCGGCUAGAGAGUAGUUGCGGUAGGCGGAAUGUAUGGUGUAGCGGUGAAAUGCUUAGAGAUCAUACAGAACACCGAUUGCGAAGGCAGCUUACCAAGCUACUUCUGACGUUGAGGCACGAAAGCGUGGGGAGCAAACAGGAUUAGAUACCCUAGUAGUC
Molecule: ribosomal RNA, 460 nt
Filed under: uncultured bacterium
Lineage: Bacteria
Description: partial 16S ribosomal RNA
Rfam family: Bacterial small subunit ribosomal RNA
Source: RNAcentral